GCCAGGCCUAGGUCUUCAGCUGAAUCAAGCAAAAUGAUUGAUAGACCCAUUCCACUUUUCCUUCUUCUGCAGCUGGUUCCACAGUCAAGCUUUUCUAUUAGAAUCCUGUCAUGUUAAUUGUCUGACCACUCUAGUUGUUGGCCUAGCAUUGUUCAUGUUUGGCUCCAAGCAUUCACAGUUUAGCUACAGCAUCAGACUCAGCACUAAUCUGCUCUCUUGUGAUUUCAGUACCUGUUCUGCCAGACUCUCCUGCAAACUGUGUACCUACAUGAGGUGUGGGAUUUUGCUAUAGUUGUGUUGGAACUCCGCUGCUUUGUUUCUUACAGCAAUUGAAGCGUUGAUCACCCCUUCCCCAGUCACUGUUUAAAUCUGCACUUAACAGGUUCUAUGGCUAUAACAGCGUGGCUCCACCCUUAAGGGAUGGACCACAGAGGAUAGCCACACCCGGAGAAGCACACCUCUAUUGGAGCAGGGGAUUUCUUAUACAGAACAGCAGGAAGCUGCAUAAGGUGAUUUGACAGAAGAAGGAAGCCAGGUCCAGAGGGCUGAGCUCUGGCCAGAAAGCACUAGGACUGGUGGCUUCUGCUGGGGCAGAGGAAGCGGUCUGUGUGAGAUUGCAGCGGUCAUCGACUUAAAUACUGGGUCAGAGUUUGUGAAAACUAGUCCCCACACGCUGUUCAGAAGAAGAUGCAGCAUUGCAAGGUGGAAUCUGUCGUUUCUGUGGGCUGCAGCUCAGCAUUGAAUAGGUCUGUGCACCACACUUCAGUUACCCAGAUGAAUUUAACCCUGUAACAUCUGUGUAAGUCUGAGAUCCAGCCAAAGCAAGGUCUGUUGGAAAAUAUGAUCCUUUUGAAAUUUUCAGCAGGAUAUUUCCAAGUGAGAUCUUACAGGCAAGGGCGAUCUUUUUGUCUUGUUUGUACAGAACCCAGCACAAUGGGGUCCUGGCCCAUGAUGAGGGCUUUUGGGCGUUAUUGCAAUUCAGUAAUAAGUGUCCUUAAAGGUGA
Chelonia mydas (Green sea turtle) is the source of this 1004-nucleotide long non-coding RNA. RefSeq lists it as uncharacterized. NCBI's taxonomy places the organism in Eukaryota, Metazoa, Chordata, Testudines, Cheloniidae. The transcript is spliced from 2 exons. The record is from RefSeq and is a predicted model, not a curated record.